RNAcentral lists this ribosomal RNA (253 nucleotides) under uncultured bacterium. RNAcentral's name for it is "partial 16S ribosomal RNA". It matches the Rfam family "Bacterial small subunit ribosomal RNA", at positions 524 to 776 of the family's 1533-position model. The record is from RNAcentral.
UACGGAGGGUGCAAACGUUGCUCGGAAUCAUUGGGCGUAAAGCGCACGUAGGCGGUCGGCUAUGUCGGAUGUGAAAGCCUCGGGCUUAACCCGAGAAGGGCAUCCGAAACUGUCGGGCUAGAGUCCGGAAGAGGCGAGUGGAAUUCCGGGUGUAGCGGUGGAAUGCGUAGAGAUCCGGAAGAACACCGGAGGCGAAGGCGGCUUGCUGGGCGUAGUCUGACGCUGAGGCGCGAAAGCGUGGGGAGCGAACAGG